GCCUCCCCCGCCCCCGCCGGGGCCCCUUGCUCCGGCGACUCCGGCUCGGUCUCCCAAAGUGCUGAGAUUACAGGCAUGAGUCACUGAGACUGGCCUCAUUCCCUGUUUAAAAAUGAGGAAAGCCAGGUGCAGGGUUGUGUGCCUGUAAUCACAGCUACUCAGGAGGCUGAGCGGGAAGGAUCACUUGAGGCCAGGAGUUUGACUCUAUAUUGACGGAGCAAUAUACAGAGACUGUCUCUAAAAAAAAGGAAGGGUAGGGGGUUGAGGACUGAGGCACAGAGAAGUUGAAGAAUUUUCCCAAUUCACUUAGCUGGUGCAUGACACAGCCAGUAUGAUCUAAUGCUAGAAAACAACCACUGCAAUGCGGCCUCCUGAGACAGAACUUUCAUCAUGCAGCUGCUGUCACCCUGUCCAGCCAAUCCCUUAACAUGGCAUCAGGAGCCCUGAGUUCAGGUUCUGGCUCUGCUGAUGGCUGGCUGUGUAACCUUCGUCAAGUCCCAUAUCUUCUCUGGGCUUCAAGAACCCAAGAACCUCAAGAACAUUUGACUAGCCCGAACAUUCCCUGGGCCUGGGUCCUAUUCCUCCUCCU
RNAcentral lists this long non-coding RNA (589 nucleotides) under Homo sapiens (human). RNAcentral's name for it is "non-protein coding lnc-LTBP3-4:1". Lineage: Eukaryota; Metazoa; Chordata; Mammalia; Primates; Hominidae. The record is from RNAcentral.